AUGGUUAAAUCAUGUUGCAAAUGCUUGUUCUCGUUCGAACACCAAAGUUAACCAGUGUUGAGCCUGGUCAGUUCUUAGAUGGGUGACUGUUUGGGAACACCAGGUGCUGUCAG
Acanthosepion pharaonis is the source of this 113-nucleotide non-coding RNA. The record is from the annotation of a GenBank genome assembly. Lineage: Eukaryota; Metazoa; Mollusca; Cephalopoda; Sepiida; Sepiidae.